This 916-nucleotide ribosomal RNA is filed under the name uncultured bacterium. RNAcentral's name for it is "bacterial SSU rRNA". It matches the Rfam family "Bacterial small subunit ribosomal RNA", at positions 246 to 1155 of the family's 1533-position model. The record is from RNAcentral.
UUGUUGGUAAGGUAAAAGCUUACCAAGGCUUCGAUCAGUAGCUGGUCUGAGAGGACGACCAGCCACACUGGGACUGAGACACGGCCCAGACUCCUACGGGAGGCAGCAGUGGGGAAUUUUGGACAAUGGGGGCAACCCUGAUCCAGCCAUGCCGCGUGAGUGAAGAAGGCCUUCGGGUUGUAAAGCUCUUUCAGCCGGAACGAAACGGUUACGGUUAACACCCGUGACUACUGACGGUACCGGAAGAAGAAGCACCGGCUAACUACGUGCCAGCAGCCGCGGUAAUACGUAGGGUGCGAGCGUUAAUCGGAAUUACUGGGCGUAAAGCGUGCGCAGGUGGUUUUGUAAGUCAGAUGUGAAAGCCCCGGGCUCAACCUGGGAACUGCGUUUGAAACUACAAGACUAGAGUGUGGCAGAGGGGGGUGGAAUUCCGCGUGUAGCGGUGAAAUGCGUAGAGAUGUGGAGGAACACCGAUGGCGAAGGCAGCCCCCUGGGUCAACACUGACGCUCAGGCACGAAAGCAUGGGGAGCAAACAGGAUUAGAUACCCUGGUAGUCCAUGCCCUAAACGAUGUCAACUAGUUGUCGGGCCUUUACGGGCUUGGUAACGUAGCUAACGCGUGAAGUUGACCGCCUGGGGAGUACGAUCGCAAGAUUAAAACUCAAAUGAAUUGACGGGGACCCGCACAAGCGGUGGAUUAUGUGGAUUAAUUCGAUGCAACGCGAAAAACCUUACCUACCCUUGACAUGUAUCGAAGCCCGCAGAAAAGCGGGGGUGCCCGAAAGGGAACGAUAACACAGGUGCUGCAUGGCUGUCGUCAGCUCGUGCCGUGAGAUGUUGGGUUAAGUCCCGCAACGAGCGCAACCCUUGUCAUUAAUUGCCAUCAUUUAGUUGGGCACUUUAAUGAGACUGCCGG